This 253-nucleotide ribosomal RNA is filed under the name uncultured Diversispora. Its description in RNAcentral is "partial 28S ribosomal RNA". Lineage: Eukaryota; Fungi; Glomeromycota; Glomeromycetes; Diversisporales; Diversisporaceae. The record is from RNAcentral.
AAGUAGCUCUGCUUCGGGAGAGUAUUAUAGACCCUAGGGGAUGCAGCCUGCGGGAUCGAGGAUUGCAGCAAAUGCCUUUGGCUUGUCGCCUGAUCUCUGGAUGUUACCUCGCUUGUGACAACAUUCUUGCCACUUGUGGGUACUAAUGCCCAUCAGGUUAGAGCGAUCAAAAAUUUUGCUAAGGAUGCUGACGUAAUGGCUUUAAACGACCCGUCUUGAAACACGGCUGUCUCUUAUACACAUCUCCGAGCCC